This 463-nucleotide ribosomal RNA is filed under the name uncultured bacterium. Its description in RNAcentral is "SSU rRNA". It matches the Rfam family "Bacterial small subunit ribosomal RNA", at positions 26 to 518 of the family's 1533-position model. The record is from RNAcentral.
AGAAUCAACGCUGGCGGCGUGCCUAACACAUGCAAGUCGAACGAGAAAGUGGAGCAAUCCAUGAGUACAGUGGCGACCGGGUGAGUAACACGUGACUACCUACCCUUGAGUGGGGGAUAACCUCGGGAAACCGAGGCUAAUACCGCAUAAUAUCGAGAGAUCAAAGGAGUAAUCCGCUUUUGGAGGGGGUCGCGGCUGAUUAGCUAGUUGGUAGGGUAAUGGCCUACAAAGGCGAAGAUCGGUAUCCGGCCUGAGAGGGCGCGACGGAACGACACCUGGAACUGAAACACGGUCCAGACUCCUACGGGAGGCAGCAGUGGGGAAUUUUGCGCAAUGGGGGAAACCCUGACGCAGCAACGCCGCGUGGAGGAUGAAGUCCCUUGGGACGUAAACUCCUUUCGACCAAGACGAUAAUGACGGUACUGGUGGAAGAAGCACCGGCUAACUCUGUGCCAGCAGCCGC